UCUCCGUUGGUGAAUCAGCGGAGGGAUCAUUACAGAGCAUCAUGCCCUUCGGGGUAGAUCUCCCACCCUGUGUAUUUUAUACCUUUUGUUGCUUUGGCGGGCCGCCUCGGCCACCGGCUCCGGCUGUUGCGUGCCCGCCAGAGGACCCCAAACUCUGAAUGUUAGUGUCGUCUGAGUACUAUCUAAUAGUUAAAACUUUCAACAACGGAUCUCUUGGUUCUGGCAUCGAUGAAGAACGCAGC
This 242-nucleotide unclassified non-coding RNA is filed under the name uncultured fungus. Its description in RNAcentral is "sequence contains ITS1, 5.8S rRNA gene". The stretch from base 194 to 242 matches the Rfam family "5.8S ribosomal RNA", at positions 1 to 49 of the family's 154-position model. The record is from RNAcentral. Lineage: Eukaryota; Fungi.